RNAcentral lists this ribosomal RNA (443 nucleotides) under uncultured Thiobacillus sp. Its description in RNAcentral is "bacterial SSU rRNA". It matches the Rfam family "Bacterial small subunit ribosomal RNA", at positions 933 to 1382 of the family's 1533-position model. The record is from RNAcentral. Lineage: Bacteria; Pseudomonadati; Pseudomonadota; Betaproteobacteria; Nitrosomonadales; Thiobacillaceae.
UGGAGUAUGUGGUUUAAUUCGAUGCAACGCGAAGAACCUUACUACCCUUGACAUGUCCGGAACUUGCCAGAGAUGGCUUGGUGCCCGAAAGGGAAUCGGAACACAGGUGCUGCAUGGCUGUCGUCAGCUCGUGUCGUGAGAUGUUGGGUUAAGUCCCGCAACGAGCGCAACCCUUAUCAUUAGUUGCUACGCAAGGGCACUCUAAUGAGACUGCCGGUGACAAACCGGAGGAAGUGGGGAUGACGUCAAGUCCUCAUGGCCCUUAUGGGUAGGGCUUCACACGUCAUACAAUGGUCGGUACAGAGGGUUGCCAAGCCGCGAGGCGGAGCCAAUCCCACAAAGCCGAUCGUAGUCCGGAUUGUUCUCUGCAACUCGAGAGCAUGAAGUCGGAAUCGCUAGUAAUCGCAGGUCAGCAUACUGCGGUGAAUACGUUCCCGGGUCUU